Molecule: long non-coding RNA, 1186 nt
Filed under: Equus caballus (horse)
Lineage: Eukaryota; Metazoa; Chordata; Mammalia; Perissodactyla; Equidae
Description: lncRNA (ENSECAG00000041479.2)
Source: RNAcentral
CGGGCAGGCUCCAGGGAGAAGAGAGCCGAGCAGGCCACGCAGACGCACAGACCCCUCCUUCCACCCGGGAUGUUUGUCUCUGUUUCCACAGAGCCUCAGAUGACUUCUGGGGACCUUUGUUUCCUUCUCCAGCUCUGGGCCCUCUUCCUUUCCGGGCAUUCCCCUUCUUUCCUGUGACCCCAUCGUCCCUCACUAGCACCCAGAGACUGAGAAGCACAAGAAGCUCAACAUGGACAAAGAAGCCAGUUAACCCUUGCGGGCUUGAAGAUGGGUCUGCCCCGUCUCUAACUCCAGUGAGCCAUGUGACCUGGGGCCUGUUACCUAACCUCACCAUCCCUCACUUUCCUUACUUGCAAAAGAGAGGCAAAAACAUCUGCCUGACAGAGCAAGUCUAAGGAAUGAAUGCAUGAAAAGUGCACAGCAUCUUGUGGGCCUCACUUUACGCAUUUCGGCCAUUGCUUCUUGCCUCAUCUCCUUCAUGCCUGGGUAUAGGCAUUCUGUUUAGAAGCAACCCUUUGUUCUACCUUCUGUCCUUCCCACAGGCACCAGCUGCCCCAAGGAUAUUUGAAAGGAUCGUUCUCAUUACCACUCUUUCCUUUGAUUUUACCUUUAUUGAAUACCAGACUCAAGAGUUGGAAGGAUCCUUUAAGAUCCACUCAUCUAUUCAUCCAACAAAUAUUUACAAAAUGUCUACUGCAUGUCAAGUACUGUUCCAGGCUCUGGAAUAGAGAUGUGAACAAAAUACACAGACCCUGGCUCUUAUGGUGCUUAACCUGUGGGCAGGCAUUGAACAGUAGAACAAUACAUUACAUGUAGGACAACAAACUUGUCUCAGUUUGACCAAGACUUGCCUAGGUUUAGCAAUAAAGUCCUACAUCCUGCGACUGUAUCCUCAGUCCUGCCAAACUGGGAAGGUGGGUCACUCUAAUUACAAAUAUGAUGAAAGGAAAAGCUCCUGCGAAUGCUUUCAACUAGAGACCUGACCCUGGCUUUGGGAGAGCUGAAGCAAGGACGUUGCCACAAAGGGUUUACUUAUGAAGACAAUCCUUGGGCUAUGCUCCAAGGAGAACUGAUGGGAAGCGGGAUGCAGAGGCCAGAUAAUAGGACUUCCUUUACGUAGAAGGGGCUUCUGAAGUGUUUAUUAAAUGAUUGGCUGGAUGAGUAGAAAUGGCUUCUUCUGCCUUCA